This 505-nucleotide ribosomal RNA is filed under the name uncultured bacterium. RNAcentral's name for it is "partial 16S ribosomal RNA". It matches the Rfam family "Bacterial small subunit ribosomal RNA", at positions 28 to 523 of the family's 1533-position model. The record is from RNAcentral.
GAUGAACGCUAGCUACAGGCUUAACACAUGCAAGUCGAGGGGUAACGAGAGGAAAGCUUGCUUUCCUUGUCGACGACCGGCGCACGGGUGAGUAACGCGUAUCCAACCUGCCCCCAACUAGGGAAUAACCUUGCGAAAGUAAGACUAAUACCCUAUAAUUUCCUCAGAUGACAUCUGACGAGGAAUAAAGAUUUAUCGGUUGUGGAGGGGAUGCGUCUGAUUAGCUUGUUGGCGGGGUAACGGCCCACCAAGGCAACGGUCAGUAGGGGUUCUGAGAGGAAGGUCCCCCACAUUGGAACUGAGACACGGUCCAAACUCCUACGGGAGGCAGCAGUGAGGAAUAUUGGUCAAUGGGCGGAAGCCUGAACCAGCCAAGUAGCGUGCAGGAAGACGGCCCUAUGGGUUGUAAACUGCUUUUAUACAGGAAUAAAGUUAGCCACGUGUGGUUAUUUGUAGGUACUGUAUGAAUAAGGACCGGCUAAUUCCGUGCCAGCAGCCGCCGUAA